This 1592-nucleotide long non-coding RNA is filed under the name Homo sapiens (human). RNAcentral describes it as "non-protein coding lnc-KCTD12-2:1". Lineage: Eukaryota; Metazoa; Chordata; Mammalia; Primates; Hominidae. The record is from RNAcentral.
ACUGCCUCCAGUAAUACUCUCUUCUAAGUAAUCACUCAUAAAUAUGACAUUUCAGAACGUGCUGGGAGCAGCGCAGACAGUGUGUAGGGAGCCAUCCAGAGGCCCCACCCACCUGGGAAGCCAGGGAAAGCUUCCAGGGGGAGGGGGCGGUUCUGUGGGCUGCAGUCCGAGGGGGAAAAGCAAACGUGUAGGCAGCAGGAGUUGAGAGAUGGGAUCCAGACAAGGGCCUUCAGAUAUAUAAAUAUCCCUUUCUGAGACUGACGGGGGCGGUGGCGGUGGCGGCGGUGGCGGCGGCGGCGGCGGCGGGGCGCAGGGCUGAGCGAGCGUCCGGGUUCCGGGGCUCCGGGGAAGGCGGUUGCAGCUCCUGAGUGCAGCGCGGCUUCCUGCCACUGUCCCGGCCCGGCCACCUCUCUGUCAUGGCUCUGGCGGACAGCACACGUGGAUUACCCAACGGGGGCGGCGGCGGGGGCGGCAGUGGCUCCUCGUCGUCCUCCGCGGAGCCACCGCUCUUCCCCGACAUCGUGGAGCUGAACGUGGGGGGCCAGGUGUACGUGACCCGGCGCUGCACGGUGGUGUCGGUGCCCGACUCGCUGCUCUGGCGCAUGUUCACGCAGCAGCAGCCGCAGGAGCUGGCCCGGGACAGCAAAGGCAUUGUCAAGAAUGCCCAGGCGGUCUGGUACUUAAUAUGGAAGAAAUGUUUUUCACAAACAUUUUCUUUGACUUCUCUGCAGCAUAUGCCACUUGCUGUGUAUAGGGACAGGGAAAUAGAAGCUUCGAGAUGUGCUUUACUUAAAAGUACAGUUCAUGAGAAGGUUCUAAAAAAUGUUGGGAAAGAGGAGCUGCAUUUUUUGAUGUGGGGGCACUUUACUGCCUCAUCUCUAGUGGUUGAUGUUCCUCCUCUCUAAAGAAGGCACAGUGCUGCUAAGAUUGAGAAAUCACAGAAACAAGUCGUCUGGGUUAUGGCACCGGAAGCCAUGAGUCAGGCGGGUAGAGUGAGCCAGGCUUCACCCUUCCUCUUUCCUUUUGCCUGUACUUCCUCUGGAUAGCUUUUGUUUUAAAAGUGUGUGUGUGUAGACACAUUAUUUUUUGAAAAUGUAAUACAGAUUAACCCUCCUCCAGUAACCGCUAGUUUUUCCUAGAGGCCUCCCUUUUUUUUUUUUUUAUCUUUUCUGUAGAAAUCACACCUGUUCUGUGUCUUGCUUUCUGUUUGUUAACUACAUAUCCUGGAGCUACUGCAAUGCAUGAACAUGUGGCAAUGAUCUACCUCAUUUUGUUUGAUAGCUACAUGAUAUUCUACAUGACACGCCAUUGUCUAGAUGUGCUGUCGUUUAUUUUGUAAGUCCUUUAUUGAUAGGCAUUUAAAAUUCCGGGUAUUUUUUUUCUACUCCAAAGAGUGCUGUACUGAAUGUCUUUUUACAUAUAUGCAAAUAUAUUUGAGUCCAGCUUUUUUUGUAUGAAGUGAUGCCAAGAGAGAAAUGACCAGGAGGUACUUUUUCCUUCUUGAGGAACUAUGGAAACAGUGGGAUUCACUGGAAGCUUUUUAGGAAUUGGUGGGGGUGGUGUGAAAUCACUCUAGAGUCAUUAGGUAUAUA